AGUGAUGAAGCCCUUCGGGGUGUAAAGCUCUUUCGGCAGGAACGAUAAUGACGGUACCUGCAGAAGAAGCUGCGGCUAACUACGUGC
This 87-nucleotide ribosomal RNA is filed under the name uncultured bacterium. RNAcentral describes it as "partial 16S ribosomal RNA". It matches the Rfam family "Bacterial small subunit ribosomal RNA", at positions 404 to 508 of the family's 1533-position model. The record is from RNAcentral.